This 551-nucleotide ribosomal RNA is filed under the name Armillaria nabsnona. Its description in RNAcentral is "eukaryotic LSU rRNA". It matches the Rfam family "Eukaryotic large subunit ribosomal RNA", at positions 87 to 623 of the family's 3401-position model. Lineage: Eukaryota; Fungi; Basidiomycota; Agaricomycetes; Agaricales; Physalacriaceae. The record is from RNAcentral.
CUGCGAGUGAAGAGGGAAAAGCUCAAAUUUAAAUCUGGCAGCUUCGCUGUCCGAGUUGUAAUUUAGAGAAGUGUUACCCGCGUUGGACCGUGUACAAGUCUCCUGGAACGGAGCGUCAUAGAGGGUGAGAAUCCCGUCUUUGACACGGACUACCAAGGCUUUGUGGUACGCUCUCGAACAGUCGAGUUGUUUGGGAAUGCAGCUCUAAAUGGGUGGUAAAUUCCAUCUAAAGCUAAAUAUUGGCGAGAGACCGAUAGCAAACAAGUACCGUGAGGGAAAGAUGAAAAGAACUUUGGAAAGAGAGUUAAACAGUACGUGAAAUUGUUGAAAGGGAAACGCUUAAAGUCCAGUCGCGUUGGUUAGGAAUCAGCCUUGGUUUUCCUUGGUGUACUUCCUAAUCGACGGGUCAACAUCAGUUUUGACCGUUGGAUAAAGGUUGAGGGAAUGUGGCACCUUCGGGUGUGUUAUAGCCCUUGAUUGUAUACAGCGGUUGGGACUGAGGAACUCAGCACGCCGAAAGGCCGGGUCUUGUACCACGUUCGUGCUUAGGA